RNAcentral lists this ribosomal RNA (344 nucleotides) under uncultured Rhodosporidium. Its description in RNAcentral is "eukaryotic LSU rRNA". The stretch from base 1 to 74 matches the Rfam family "5.8S ribosomal RNA", at positions 81 to 154 of the family's 154-position model. The record is from RNAcentral. Lineage: Eukaryota; Fungi; Basidiomycota; Microbotryomycetes; Sporidiobolales.
UCAGUGAAUCAUCGAAUCUUUGAACGCACCUUGCGCUCCAUGGUAUUCCGUGGAGCAUGCCUGUUUGAGUGUCAUGAAUACUUCAACCCUCCUCUUUUCUAGUGAAAGAGAAGGUGCUUGGUUUCUGAGCGUUUUGCUGGCCUCACGGUCGAGCUCGCUCGUAAUGCAUUAGCAUCCGCAAUCGAACUUCGGAUUGACUUGGCGUAAUAGACUAUUCGCUGAGGAAUUCUAAUCUUCGGAUUAGAGCCGGGUUAGGUUAAAGGAAGCUUCUAAUCCUAAUGUCUAUAUUUUAAGAUUAGAUCUCAAAUCAGGUAGGACUACCCGCUGAACUUAAGCAUAUCAAU